RNAcentral lists this ribosomal RNA (406 nucleotides) under uncultured bacterium. Its description in RNAcentral is "partial 16S ribosomal RNA". It matches the Rfam family "Bacterial small subunit ribosomal RNA", at positions 30 to 526 of the family's 1533-position model. The record is from RNAcentral.
AUUGAACGCUGGCGGCAGGCCUAACACAUGCAAGUCGAACGAGUGGCGGACGGGUGAGUAAUGUCUGGGAAACUGCCUGAUGUAGGGGGAUAACUACUGGAACCGGUAGCUAAUACCGCAUACCGUCAGAUGGGCCGAGGUGGGAUUAGCUAGUUGGUGGGGUAACGGCUCACCAAGGCGAAGAUCCCUAGCUGGUCUGAGAGGAUGACCAGCCACACUGGAACUGAGACACGGCCCAGACUCCUACGGGAGGCAGCAGUGGGGAAUAUUGCACAAGGGGCGCAAGCCUGACGCAGCCAUGCCGCGUGUAUGAAGAAGGUUUUCGGGUUGUAAAGUACUUUCAGCGGGGAGGCGGUACCCGCAGAAGAAGCACCGGCUAACUCCGUGCCAGCAGCCGCGGUAAUAC